Molecule: transfer RNA, 75 nt
Filed under: Candidatus Saccharimonadota bacterium
Lineage: Bacteria; Candidatus Saccharimonadota
Description: tRNA-Glu
Rfam family: tRNA
About the family: Transfer RNA (tRNA) molecules are approximately 80 nucleotides in length. Their secondary structure includes four short double-helical elements and three loops (D, anti-codon, and T loops). Further hydrogen bonds mediate the characteristic L-shaped molecular structure. tRNAs have two regions of fundamental functional importance: the anti-codon, which is responsible for specific mRNA codon recognition, and the 3' end, to which the tRNAs corresponding amino acid is attached (by aminoacyl-tRNA synthetases). tRNAs cope with the degeneracy of the genetic code in two manners: having more than one tRNA (with a specific anti-codon) for a particular amino acid; and 'wobble' base-pairing, i.e. permitting non-standard base-pairing at the 3rd anti-codon position.
Source: RNAcentral
GGCCCGAUGGUCAAGAGGUUAAGACACCGCCCUUUCACGGCGGAAUCACGGGUUCGAUCCCCGUUCGGGUCACCA